UCUUAAAUUUGAAACCUUUUUUGCAAAUUUAGAGUUUUGAUUAAUUUUCUUAUAUAUUUUCGUAAAUCUGAAAUCCCUCUUUUGAAUUCCAAUUUUGUUUUGCUUCUAUGGAUUUUUACUUCAAUCUUUUGUUUGUUUAGAGUUUUUUGUUUUCUUCAAACCCAAAAGAAAGGGACUACACAUUAUAUGAUUGUGUCUGUCCGGUUUCUAACUUGGGGAGAUGUUGCCUAUGUAAAACAAGCAGGAUGUGAUUAAAAAUCUGUAAGACUUGUAAAAUUAUAUCAGACAAGCAUGAUUUGAUUAAAAUCUGUAAGUCUUGUAAAAUUAUGUAAGACAAGCAUCAUUUUGAUGGAAAUCUGCAAGUCUUGUUAAAUUAUGUAAUGCAAGCAUCAUUUUGAUUGAAAUCUGUAAGACUUGUCUAAUUAUUUAAGACAAGCAUCAUUUUGAUUGAAAUCUGUAAGUCUUGUGUAAUUAUGUAAGACAAGCAAGAUUUGAUUGAAAUCUGUAAGACUUGUUAAAUUAUGAAAGACAAGCAAGAUGAGAUUGAAAUCUGUAAGACUUGUCUAAUUAAUUAAGACAAGCAAGAUUUUGAUUGAAAUCUGUAAGACUUGUUAAACUAUGAAAGACAAGCAAGAUGAGAUUGAAAUCUGUAAGACUUGUAAAUUAUUUAAGACAAGCAAGAUUUUGAUUGAAAUCUGUAAGACUUAUCUAACUAUGUUCAAAGAUUGGAUAAUUGAAUCUAAUCGAUAUAUUGCUGGCUGGGCAGCAUAACUUCAAGUUUCUGCAUAGAACUGCUUUCAUUAAGGCUUUUCUAAUGAUGUCCUAAGAAGGAUAAAUUCAAUGAUCUGCUUUAAAACUCAAUGAUCUGCUUAUUGCUGGGGAUAAAACUCAAUGAUCUGCUUAUUUGAUGGAGAUAAAUUCAAUGAUCUGUUUUAAAACUCAAUGAUCUGCUUAUUGAUGGAGAAAAAUUCAAUGAUCUGCUUUAAAACUCAAUGAUCUGCUUAUUGAUGGGGAUAAAACUCAAUGAUCUGCUUAUUGAUGGGGAUAAAACUCAAUGAUCUGCUUAUUUGAUGGAGAUAAAAACUCAAUGAUCUGCUUAUUGAUGGAGAUAAAACUCAAUGAUCUGCUUAUUGAUGGGGAUAAAACUCAAUGAUCUGCUUAUUGAUGGAGAUAAAUUCAAUGAUCUGCUUAUUGACGGGGAUAAAUUCAAUGAUCUGCUUAUUGACGGGGAUAAAACUCAAUGAUCUGCUUUAAAACUCAAUGAUCUGCUUAUUAAUGGAUAUUAAUUGUCUUUUAUAAGACUUGUCUAAUGAAUUCCGGUUGGGGAAUUCAGUUUUAUGGAUGAAAAUGCCCUUUAUGCCUAGCUCUUGAAGCUAUUCCUGUUAGCGAAGGCACAUCGUUGUGCAACGCUUGAUGGGUCGAGGCUCGAGCAAGGCACUAAAGAGAAAGAGAGAGAUGAGGCACUAAAGGCAAAUCAAUAUAUAUCUCAUUGAGAUAUGAUAUUCAAUGGGACAUCAUGUUCUAACUUACAAUAUUCUGCAUAAAAAAAAAGUCUUUGCAGACUGUAUCUUUCCCUCUUUUAAUCUGGUAAGUGUCUCUUCCGUCUUUUAAAAUAAGGUAUGUUCUUCAUAAUAUUUUUCCUUGAUGGAGUUUGUAGUUCGUUAAUUGAUUACAUCUUUAGAUCACGUAGUCUUUUAUAACUGUUUGCUAUGAGUGAUUUUGAUCCUUUUUUUUAGCUUCAGAAGACCAUGAAAUGGAGUGUGUAAGUGAUCUUCCUCAGGAACCGUAAAGAAGGCAUUGUGUACAUGAGUAAGAUGAACUAAAGGGUUAUUAUCUCUCCAAGUCCACGCGAUUCUAGACAUCUGACUUUGCCAUCCAUUUGUCGUCUAAUACCUCAUUCUCUUCUUUGAAACCAAAGAGGCAUGAUUGGAGCUUUUGUUGCGUGCGUCAUCUUCAACACUCGUAUUUCCAAUGUCUUCUGUCAAUCUGCCGCAACAUCGAUCUCUCCGGCAUCUACUCUAGCGGCAACGAUUUCAAGGUUCUCUACAUAUUUUCUCGCCACUGCGCCGCACACUUGACUUUGAGAAUUGAGAAGAUUCUUAUUUUCUCUCUUUUUUUAUCUGGUGGUUUGUGUAUUUGGCAAUAUGCAGAGUUCAAGGAGUUGCAGAGUUAUAGUGAAGGUCUUUAUCAUGCUUCACUUUUUGGAUUUGGAAGGACAAAAAGGAACACGCAAAGUAAAUAACAUGACCAAUUCAGAGACGCAGUUGCUAAUAAUCACAAGGGAUCAUGUUGCCGACCUAAAAAUUUUGAGGAAACAAGGAACAGUAAAGAAGAAGUAUCCUUUCAAGUAGGAGAAUGAUUAAAGUCGAUAGAACAAAUGAAGAUCCUUUAACAAAAAAAAAAAAAAAAAAAAAAAAAAAGUCGAUAGAACAAAAAAAAAAAGAAGAACAUUCCACCUCGGUGAAUUAAUCACUCAUCUUCUUUUACUGGUGGAUAUUGUUUUAAGCGAUGAGUUACGUAAAUGGUAAUUGUCAUGUCA
Long non-coding RNA from Arabidopsis lyrata subsp. lyrata, 2539 nucleotides. RefSeq lists it as uncharacterized. The transcript is spliced from 6 exons. The record is from RefSeq and is a predicted model, not a curated record. NCBI's taxonomy places the organism in Eukaryota, Viridiplantae, Streptophyta, Magnoliopsida, Brassicales, Brassicaceae.